This is a long non-coding RNA of Callithrix jacchus (white-tufted-ear marmoset), 1015 nucleotides long. RefSeq lists it as uncharacterized. The record is from RefSeq and is a predicted model, not a curated record. Lineage: Eukaryota; Metazoa; Chordata; Mammalia; Primates; Cebidae.
CCAACCUUUUUACCCCAGCACCUGACAUCUCAUCACCACAGUGAUUCACCUGCAGAGAGGCUGUACCGUUGGUUGAUCUCAAAAUGUCAGCCAGCCUGAAAUGCAGGAAUUUCCAUGUAUGUGUGUGCAUUCCUUAUCAGUGUAGAAUCUUAAUUAAUUAAUACAAUGCAGAAAGUCUCACUAGGACCCAUUCCAUGGAGAAGAUCAUUCUGGAGGUGGCACCAGACUGCUUAACAAUGUAGAAGCAAGCAGCAGAAUAGGAAGGAGACCAGGAGGCAACACUUUCUGAGGGCCUUGCUUCAUGUCUGAAGCCGCCAAUGAACAAAGCUCUAUUUUAUCAACUUGGAAGUGAAAUCUCAGAAAGAUCAAGUGUGUGUCAGAGAGCAAACCAGCCCUUCGUUUUCUUAGAAGUACUCUCGGAGCCUGCACGGUUCUAACAUGAGCCUCCUUGUGCGGUACGUUACGAAAUGCUGUCGGAACAAUGACUCCUCGAGAAGUCCAGUGAACUGGCAGAAACCCCCAACCAAAAAGAUGAUCAACUCAGAUACUGCUGCAGUGCAAAGGGAUAGAGAAGGAGAAAGUGAACCUGCCAAGCUUCGACGGGCCUUUUGACAAGCUAUGAAACCUCUAGGAACCAUAUGGAAUACCUACAGUGCUUUGUGGACAUCACGAUUUCUUUUUUCAGUUACCCCCAGUUUGCCCUCUGGAAUCUCAUAAUUGGAUGUUUAAUCAGGGACUUGUCAAAAGAAAAUCUAGAGAACUGACUCAUCUACAUAAAGGUGCUAUAAAACAGCCAAUUCAAAGAAAUAAGAUAAGAAAUGGUCUUAUGUGUUCAAACAAUAAUUAUACACUUUCCUCAAUUAUUUUUGAAUCAAUAGCUUUCCUGUAUUUUUAUAAUAGAUGGUCAUAUCUGGUCUGUGGUAAACCAUGGUAUUAGGAUACAGGGUCAUUGAAAUUAUCUUCCUGUUUUUCUAUGCAAUAUUAGUCAUUCUUGAUCUUUUCUUUUUAAUUUGAA